UGCAUCUGCACAUGAUUGCACAAAUGCACUCAAAACUUGCUACUGCAUGCACACAAAUUGAUAACUUUGUUAUGGGCUAAAUAGCUAGGCCUGGAGAUGUUUUGCCUGUGCCCUCCAUCAUUUUUUCUGCUAACAGUUUACAGAGGAAUAAUUCGAACAUAUAGUUGGCAUUCAUUUCUCUUUUCCAUCAUUGAUUGAUUCAUAUGGACAAUAAGCAGGUCAUUAAAACAUUUUCAAAAGAUUCUGGUUACUUGCACAUCUGUUCAAUCAAUCAGAGGAAACUCCUAUUGACCUUUUCAUUUUUAAAAUGUUUUUCCCUUUUCACCAUCUUUUCCAUUUUUGAUAGAUGGGGGUACCAAAAUGAAUUAGCAUGCAAAGGUUCAUCAUUUGGGUGGUCCUCUAAUAGAGCCCAUUAG
This 416-nucleotide unclassified non-coding RNA is filed under the name Hevea brasiliensis (rubber tree). Lineage: Eukaryota; Viridiplantae; Streptophyta; Magnoliopsida; Malpighiales; Euphorbiaceae. The record is from RNAcentral.